Molecule: ribosomal RNA, 243 nt
Filed under: uncultured bacterium
Lineage: Bacteria
Description: partial 16S ribosomal RNA
Rfam family: Bacterial small subunit ribosomal RNA
Source: RNAcentral
GAUCAUGGCUCAGAUUGAACGCUGGCGGCAUGCCUUACACAUGCAAGUCGAACGGUAACAGGUCUUCGGACGCUGACGAGUGGCGAACGGGUGAGUAAUACAUCGGAACGUGCCCAGUCGUGGGGGAUAACUACUCGAAAGAGUAGCUAAUACCGCAUACGAUCUGAGGAUGAAAGCGGGGGACCUUCGGGCCGUCGCGCGAUGGAGCGGCCGAUGGCAGAUUAGUAGUUGGUGGGNGUAAAG